AUGACGUUCAUCGUGCCCUCCUCCGGCACAUCUACGACGUGGAUGAGCCCACGCCGUCCGCGCCCAAGCUGCAGGAUCUUCCGCUCGACGAAAUGCACCGGAGCACCACCCAGCGCCGCGGCGCCCGCCGGGCUGCCGUCAAGCCCGACCGCCAUCAUGUCAUUCUUGAAGGCGUGGGAGGUCAUCCGCACCUGCGUGCUCGCGCGGCGGUGGCGCCAUCUCUGGGCGUCCGUGCCCUGCGUCGAUCUCCGCGUGCGCCCCUCCACUGGCCGCUACGGCGACCCGCCUGAGAAGUUCCGCGACUUCGUGCACCGGAUCUUCCUCCUCCGGGACGAAUCGGCGCUCGUGGUCAUGCUCCGCCUGCGGUCGAGUGACGAAGAAGCGGGCUUCACCGAUGACGACGCCAGGGCGUGGAUGAGGGCCGCCAUCAAGCGCAACGCGCGGGUUAUCCAUCUCACCGGGCGUUGCUCGGAGAUCGCGUCGUUGGACCGCGUGUCGUUCAUCUCUUGCCACCUCAAGGUCUUGAAGCUGUCGGAUGCCAUGCUCGACUACAGGAUCCUCGGGCAGCUUUCUUCUAGUUGCACGUCUUUGGAAGUACUACGUCUGAAGGAUUGCUUGGUGGCUGGCCCUAGGAUUGUGUCUGCCUCUUUGAAGAGUUUAAUCAUGCUCGAAUGCGAGAUCAGUUGCGCCUUCUCCAUUGCUGCUCCGAACCUCCUACUUCUGCACCUCAUCACACCUUACGUCCGAGUCCCAUCAUUCAAGAAUUUGGGGUCACUUGUCACAGCUACUAUCAUACUUGAUGACUCUUUCUUGGGUGAUGACAAUGAAUGCAUCAGUGAUGAAGAUUAUUGUGAUGGAACUACUGAUGACGACGGGGAUGAUAGCGACAAUAAUGAUUGGACAGAGAGCUCGAAGAUUCAUGAUGAGUCUUCCUUGAGUAAUGAUGUUGGAUAUGAUGAUUUUAUAAGGUUUGGAUAUGGACAUGGUUUUGCUGAAGGAAUUUAUAGGCAUGGUCGUUACAAGGAUAAUUAUGAUUAUGGUGGUGAUAUCAACAGCGAUGACAAUACCUAUGCAUACAGUGAGAUUGCAAAUGAUGCAGAGUAUGGCGACAAAGGUAAAGGCCUGAUUUCCAGUAAAGAUAGUAUCUAUGGUGGAUAUAGAGAAUGCAAUGAUGCAAAGAUUUUAGGUGGCCGUCAUAUUCUUCAGAGUCUUUCAAGUGCUAGAACUUUGGAGUUGUUGACUGAUGCUGGAGAGGUGGUUCUGAGUAGGGAACUGAAUACAUGUCCAAUUUUUGGCAACCUGAAGACCCUGUCCCUUGGCGAAUGGUGUAUGGCUGCAGACUUUGAUGCAUUAAUUUUCUUGCUGCCGCACUCACCUAAUAUACAGAAACUCUUUCUCCAACUUAAAAUUAACUUCAAUGCCAAAAAGGCAUCAGAAACAGGUAUCAAACUACAGAGAAGAUCAUUUACUUGCAAAGAUCUUCGAAUGGUGAAGAUCACAUGCUCAAAGGAUGAUGGGAGAGUCCAUAAGCUGGCAAAUUUGUUUAUGGCAAAUGGUAUGCCAGUCGAGAAAAUUUAUGUCCGCCACAGCGGGAGUGCUUAUCUCCGCAGCCAGAAGCAGACGAAGGAGUUCUGGGGGGUGUAA
RNAcentral lists this ribosomal RNA (1644 nucleotides) under Triticum aestivum (bread wheat). RNAcentral describes it as "partial small subunit ribosomal RNA". Lineage: Eukaryota; Viridiplantae; Streptophyta; Magnoliopsida; Poales; Poaceae. The record is from RNAcentral.